RNAcentral lists this ribosomal RNA (465 nucleotides) under uncultured bacterium. RNAcentral's name for it is "partial 16S ribosomal RNA". It matches the Rfam family "Bacterial small subunit ribosomal RNA", at positions 28 to 507 of the family's 1533-position model. The record is from RNAcentral.
GACGAACGCUGGCGGCGUGCUUAACACAUGCAAGUCGAACGGAAAGGCCCUGCUUGCAGGGUACUCGAGUGGCGAACGGGUGAGUAACACGUGGGUGAUCUGCCCUGCACUUCGGGAUAAGCCUUGGAAACUGGGUCUAAUACCGGAUAGGAGCCAUCUUUAGUGUGAUGGUUGGAAAGUUUUUUCGGUGUAGGAUGAGCUCGCGGCCUAUCAGCUUGUUGGUGGGGUAAUGGCCUACCAAGGCGGCGACGGGUAGCCGGCCUGAGAGGGUGGACGGCCACAUUGGGACUGAGAUACGGCCCAGACUCCUACGGGAGGCAGCAGGGGGGAAUAUUGCACAAUGGGCGCAAGCCUGAUGCAGCGACGCCGCGUGGGGGAUGACGGCCUUCGGGUUGUAAACUCCUUUCGCUAGGGACGAAGCUUUUUGUGACGGUACCUAGAUAAGAAGCACCGGCUAACUACGUG